Molecule: ribosomal RNA, 253 nt
Filed under: uncultured bacterium
Lineage: Bacteria
Description: partial 16S ribosomal RNA
Rfam family: Bacterial small subunit ribosomal RNA
Source: RNAcentral
UACGAAGGUGGCUAGCGUUGUUCGGAAUUACUGGGCGUAAAGCGCGCGCAGGCGGCUAUCCAAGUCAGUGGUGAAAGCCCGGAGCUCAACUCCGGAACUGCCAUUGAAACUGUUUAGCUUGAGGAUGAGAGAGGUGAGUGGAAUUCCCAGUGUAGAGGUGAAAUUCGUAGAUAUUGGGAAGAACACCGGUGGCGAAGGCGGCUCACUGGCUCAUUACUGACGCUCAGGCGCGAUAGCGUGGGGAUCAAACAGG